GCGAACGGGGAGGAGCCCAGAGCCUGAAUCAGCAUGUGUGUUAGUGGAAGCGUCUGGAAAGGCGCGCGAUACAGGGUGACAGCCCCGUACACAAAAGCGCAUGUGCUGUGAGCUCGAUGAGUAGGGCGGGACACGUGGUAUCCUGUCUGAAUAUGGGGGGACCAUCCUCCAAGGCUAAAUACUCCUGACUGACCGAUAGUGAACCAGUACCGUGAGGGAAAGGCGAAAAGAACCCCGGCGAGGGGAGUGAAAAAGAACCUGAAACCGUGUACGUACAAGCAGUGGGAGCACCCUUCGGGGUGUGACUGCGUACCUUUUGUAUAAUGGGUCAGCGACUUAUAUUCUGUAGCAAGGUUAACCGUAUAGGGGAGCCGGAGGGAAACCGAGUCUUAAUUGGGCGUUAAGUUGCAGGGUAUAGACCCGAAACCCGGUGAUCUAGCCAUGGGCAGGUUGAAGGUUGGGUAACACUAACUGGAGGACCGAACCGACUAAUGUUGAAAAAUUAGCGGAUGACCUGUGGCUGGGGGUGAAAGGCCAAUCAAACCGGGAGAUAGCUGGUUCUCCCCGAAAGCUAUUUAGGUAGCGCCUCGUGAAUUCAUCUCCGGGGGUAGAGCACUGUUUCGGCUAGGGGGCCAUCCCGGCUUACCAACCCGAUGCAAACUGCGAAUACCGGAGAAUGUUAUCACGGGAGACACACGGCGGGUGCUAACGUCCGUCGUGAAGAGGGAAACAACCCAGACCGCCAGCUAAGGUCCCAAAGUCAUGGUUAAGUGGGAAACGAUGUGGGAAGGCCCAGACAGCCAGGAUGUUGGCUUAGAAGCAGCCAUCAUUUAAAGAAAGCGUAAUAGCUCACUGGUCGAGUCGGCCUGCGCGGAAGAUGUAACGGGGCUAAACCAUGCACCGAAGCUGCGGCAGCGAACGUAUCACCCAAGACAACUUUACGGAGUUGACGAUUGACGGAGCGAAGCGACGUCAAAGCGUUCAUUAAAGUCGAGUUGGCUUAGGGAUACGUUCGUUGGGUAGGGGAGCGUUCUGUAAGCCUGUGAAGGUGUGUCGUGAGGCAUGCUGGAGGUAUCAGAAGUGCGAAUGCUGACAUAAGUAACGAUAAAGCGGGUGAAAAGCCCGCUCGCCGGAAGACCAAGGGUUCCUGUCCAACGUUAAUCGGGGCAGGGUGAGUCGACCCCUAAGGCGAGGCCGAAAGGCGUAGUCGAUGGGAAACGGGUUAAUAUUCCCGUACUUGGUGUUACUGCGAAGGGGGGACGGAGAAGGCUAUGUUGGCCGGGCGACGGUUGUCCCGGUUUAAGCGUGUAGGUGUGUGUUCCAGGUAAAUCCGGUUCACUUUAACACUGAGGCGUGACGACGAGGCACUACGGUGCUGAAGCAACAAAUGCCCUGCUUCCAGGAAAAGCCUCUAAGCAUCAGGUAACACGAAAUCGUACCCCAAACCGACACAGGUGGUCAGGUAGAGAAUACCAAGGCGCUUGAGAGAACUCGGGUGAAGGAACUAGGCAAAAUGGUGCCGUAACUUCGGGAGAAGGCACGCUGACACGUAGGUGAAGUGAUUUACUCAUGGAGCUGAAGUCAGUCGAAGAUACCAGCUGGCUGCAACUGUUUAUUAAAAACACAGCACUGUGCAAACACGAAAGUGGACGUAUACGGUGUGACGCCUGCCCGGUGCCGGAAGGUUAAUUGAUGGGGUCAGCGCAAGCGAAGCUCCUGAUCGAAGCCCCGGUAAACGGCGGCCGUAACUAUAACGGUCCUAAGGUAGCGAAAUUCCUUGUCGGGUAAGUUCCGACCUGCACGAAUGGCGUAAUGAUGGCCAGGCUGUCUCCACCCGAGACUCAGUGAAAUUGAACUCGCUGUGAAGAUGCAGUGUACCCGCGGCAAGACGGAAAGACCCCGUGAACCUUUACUAUAGCUUGACACUGAACAUUGAGCCUUGAUGUGUAGGAUAGGUGGGAGGCUUUGAAGUGUGGACGCCAGUCUGCAUGGAGCCGACCUUGAAAUACCACCCUUUAAUGUUUGAUGUUCUAACGUGGACCCGUAAUCCGGGUUGCGGACAGUGUCUGGUGGGUAGUUUGACUGGGGCGGUCUCCUCCUAAAGAGUAACGGAGGAGCACGAAGGUUGGCUAAUCCUGGUCGGACAUCAGGAGGUUAGUGCAAUGGCAUAAGCCAGCUUGACUGCGAGCGUGACGGCGCGAGCAGGUGCGAAAGCAGGUCAUAGUGAUCCGGUGGUUCUGAAUGGAAGGGCCAUCGCUCAACGGAUAAAAGGUACUCCGGGGAUAACAGGCUGAUACCGCCCAAGAGUUCAUAUCGACGGCGGUGUUUGGCACCUCGAUGUCGGCUCAUCACAUCCUGGGGCUGAAGUAGGUCCCAAGGGUAUGGCUGUUCGCCAUUUAAAGUGGUACGCGAGCUGGGUUUAGAACGUCGUGAGACAGUUCGGUCCCUAUCUGCCGUGGGCGCUGGAGAACUGAGGGGGGCUGCUCCUAGUACGAGAGGACCGGAGUGGACGCAUCACUGGUGUUCGGGUUGUCAUGCCAAUGGCACUGCCCGGUAGCUAAAUGCGGAAGAGAUAAGUGCUGAAAGCAUCUAAGCACGAAACUUGCCCCGA
RNAcentral lists this ribosomal RNA (2611 nucleotides) under Salmonella enterica subsp. enterica serovar Typhimurium. Its description in RNAcentral is "partial 23S ribosomal RNA". It matches the Rfam family "Bacterial large subunit ribosomal RNA", at positions 253 to 2802 of the family's 2925-position model. Lineage: Bacteria; Pseudomonadati; Pseudomonadota; Gammaproteobacteria; Enterobacterales; Enterobacteriaceae. The record is from RNAcentral.